GAUGAACGCUGGCGGCGUGCCUAAUACAUGCAAGUCGAGCGAACAGGCGAGGAGCUUGCUCCUUCGACGUUAGCGGCGGACGGGUGAGUAACACGUAGGUAACCUACCUAUAAGACUGGGAUAACUUCGGGAAACCGGAGCUAAUACCGGAUAAUAUUUCGAACCGCAUGGUUCGAUAGUGAAAGAUGGCUUUGCUAUCACUUAUAGAUGGACCUGCGCCGUAUUAGCUAGUUGGUAAGGUAACGGCUUACCAAGGCAACGAUACGUAGCCGACCUGAGAGGGUGAUCGGCCACACUGGAACUGAGACACGGUCCAGACUCCUACGGGAGGCAGCAGUAGGGAAUCUUCCGCAAUGGGCGAAAGCCUGACGGAGCAACGCCGCGUGAGUGAUGAAGGUCUUCGGAUCGUAAAACUCUGUUAUUAGGGAAGAACAAACGUGUAAGUAACUGUGCACGUCUUGACGGUACCUAAUCAGAAAGCCACGGCUAACUACGUG
RNAcentral lists this ribosomal RNA (497 nucleotides) under uncultured bacterium. RNAcentral describes it as "partial 16S ribosomal RNA". It matches the Rfam family "Bacterial small subunit ribosomal RNA", at positions 28 to 507 of the family's 1533-position model. The record is from RNAcentral.